This 427-nucleotide ribosomal RNA is filed under the name uncultured beta proteobacterium. RNAcentral's name for it is "bacterial SSU rRNA". It matches the Rfam family "Bacterial small subunit ribosomal RNA", at positions 355 to 774 of the family's 1533-position model. Lineage: Bacteria; Pseudomonadati; Pseudomonadota; Betaproteobacteria. The record is from RNAcentral.
UGGGGAAUUUUGGACAAUGGGCGAAAGCCUGAUCCAGCCAUGCCGCGUGAGUGAAGAAGGCCUUCGGGUUGUAAAGCUCUUUUAGUCGGAAAGAAAGAGUUGCAAUGAAUAAUUGUGAUUUAUGACGGUACCGACAGAAAAAGCACCGGCUAACUACGUGCCAGCAGCCGCGGUAAUACGUAGGGUGCGAGCGUUAAUCGGAAUUACUGGGCGUAAAGGGUGCGCAGGCGGUUUUGUAAGUCAGAUGUGAAAUCCCCGGGCUUAACCUGGGAAUUGCGUUUGAAACUGCAAGACUAGAGUGCAGCAGAGGGGAGUGGAAUUCCAUGUGUAGCAGUGAAAUGCGUAGAGAUGUGGAAGAACACCGAUGGCGAAGGCAGCUCCCUGGGUUGACACUGACGCUCAUGCACGAAAGCGUGGGGAGCAAACA